Molecule: ribosomal RNA, 497 nt
Filed under: uncultured bacterium
Lineage: Bacteria
Description: partial 16S ribosomal RNA
Rfam family: Bacterial small subunit ribosomal RNA
Source: RNAcentral
GACGAACGCUGGCGGCGUGCCUAAUACAUGCAAGUUGAGCGCUGAAGGUUGGUACUUGUACCAACUGGAUGAGCAGCGAACGGGUGAGUAACGCGUGGGGAAUCUGCCUUUGAGCGGGGGACAACAUUUGGAAACGAAUGCUAAUACCGCAUAAAAACUUUAAACACAAGUUUUAAGUUUGAAAGAUGCAAUUGCAUCACUCAAAGAUGAUCCCGCGUUGUAUUAGCUAGGUGGUGAGGGAAAGGCUCACCAAGGCGAAGAUACACAGCCGGACUGAGGGGGUGAUCGGCCACAUUGGGACUGGGAAACGGCCCAAACUCCUACGGGAGGCAGCAGUAGGGAAUCUUCGGCAAUGGACGGAAGUCUGACCGAGCAACGCCGCGUGAGUGAAGAAGGUUUUCGGAUCGUAAAACUCUGUUUGUAGAGAAGAACGUUAGUGAGAGUGGAAAGCUCAUCAAGUGACGGUAACUACCCAGAAAGGGACGGCUAACUACGUG